GCAAAAGAAUACAAGAACUUGGAGAGAAAUGGAGAGGAACGAAGGUGUGGGGCCUGUGGAUCCUGCACUUUUCUAAGGUACGCUAUGCCUUGUAGCUAUUUCUAAGAUUGUCUGUUUUAAGUGGUUAUAUCAUGAUUUGCAAGAAGCUUCCUUCCUCUGGUCAGCAUGAAAUGGUCUAAAAACUUGAGAACAGCUCUCUUUCCUAUUGAGUUCCGGAGAAAAGAAUCCGUAUAAGUGAUGUAAACUGGUCUCUUGCAGUUUGAUUGGAAGAAAUAGGUCUAUGAUUUUUAGGUGAAAAUGGUAUAAAUUUUAAUCAAGGCUAAGCAUAAUUAGGAAAACAGUACCAGUCUGUGAAACAAUUGCUGAAUGCUCAUAUUACUGAGAAAAUAGAGACACGGCUUUAAAAAACACUCCCUCCGUUUCCAAAAUUAGAGAUUUAGGAUAAUUUUAUGCUCAGCUAUGGUUUGAUAUUGAAAAUGAUAGUAAAAAAUAAUGGCAAAUUAGGAACAUCACGUCACUUUAUAUUCCUAAAAUAGAAAUAUAUCUUUAAUUUUGGAACGGACUUACAUCACUAAUUUUAGAGCAGAGGGAGUAUGAUUAAUAUGGAGUAUUCGUAUUAGGGCAGGCAUUUGAUUAUAUCCUUCAGUUUUCAUGGGGUUUCAUACAGAUAUCAACAAUGAUUGCUAAUUGGUUAACAAUAUGCUAGUUCUUAAGUGCAUUAUUAAAUUAAAUUAGUUCUGCGUGUGUUUAGUAUGCACUUCUUCUAUUAACUACUGCUACUGAGCAUCCUAAACAGCAUUGUUGUUCCUGAUGUUUGAGAUUUAAGGGUAAGUUAGCUAGAUUGAGAAUUUCAAGUGGCAAAAGAAAAUUAUAGUUUCAGGAGACUAAAAAUCCACUUCCAUUCUAAAAUGAAAAUUAUAACAGAAAUAGAAUAUGCAUUAUACACACCAUAAACGUAGAGGACGAGGGAACAAAAGAAAAGGAAAAAUGUCUUUUGUUGGCUACAUGGCCACUAUUCCCUUUUUUUAUAAUCAAUCAGAGAUGAAAAUCCUAGCUCAACCCUUCCCUAGCUGCCUUCGUUGUUCUCCGCAAAAAAACAUAGUAUGAUUUUCAGAUGGUUAUCCUCAGUAUCAUCACAACCUUCUUCAAAUUUCCUUCGGGCUACUCUCUAUAAGGGAAUGCUUACUUUGGGCUGAUGGAUGCUUAUGAGAAAAAUUCAUAGGUCUUGGCUUGAAUUAUGAUCUGCCUUAGUCCUCCAAUAGGUGCUAAAAUCAUUAAACAAAUUCCGAAGAAGAUGCAAAUCUGAAAUUCAUGAAGCCAAAUCAAACCAAUUUCGGGACAAAUGAAAAACAAUGAGAACAAUUUAAGAACUUUUAAGGUGCACGUACCCAGUUAGUAAGCCAAGAUAGGCUGUAUCUCCUCGGUUUGUAGAUAGCAAGCCACAUGACGCAGGGGAGCUAUAGGAAACAGGAAAAUUAUGAUAUUUAGGAAAUCAGUACGAGUUAUCUUCAUUGCAAAGUUGAGUUAUCGCAUUAAUAUUUAAAGAUGGAAAACACAGUUGCUUACAAAAUAUGUAGUUGGGGCGAAGGCGAAUCCUCCAAAGAAUCCAAGAAGACCCCCAAAGAAGGGGAAACAAAUGGCAACAAACAUUGUGAAAGCUGAGAGAAAGAAAAUUGGUAUCAAUCUCAAACCAAUAUAAUUAACCCACCUGCAGUCUGCAGAUAGAUCACACAACUCACAGUCUGGUGCAUGCAAUGCAAAUUUACUUACCCACGUAUAGGUUCCUUGAAACGAAACGAAGAGUUGCACUAGGUGUGAAAUGUAAUUUCUUUACCAGCACAGUUUCAAUCAUAUCAAAUACUGGCAUUGCAUAAAUCUACAAUGACUCGGACAAGAGAAACUAAUUAGUAAGAUCACCACAAGAAACAAACAGAUAUGAGCAACAUAAUAUUAACUAAUUGGCACCUGGUAGCUUCCGAUAACAUGAAAAACAACAAAUAAAUUGGCCAUCGCAAUGAGCCAAGUAGGCUUCUCUAAGGUGAUGAGGAUAUUGUCCGAGACUGCAUUUCCAAACAUCCAAUAUCCAAUCAAAGCAACAGGGAAGUAACACACGGCAACAACUAUGUAGGCCACGAUGACUCCCUUCCACAUAGGACCCUUUGAAGGCUUCUCGGGUGUUGAGGGGAUUGUUGCUUGAAUCUCCAAAACCACAUUAUGCCCUGCAUAUGCAAAAGCAACAUCUCCUAGUGCACUAAAAAAGUUAAAAACUGUUCCGGCUGUAGACUUAGCUUUGUAGCCAUAUUGCACAUCUGGUUGAACACCCUUCUUAACGGAAGCUGACCAAGCAAUAGUAGAGUAACUGCAUCAAAAACAAUCAUAUCAAGCAUGUUAGUUUUCAUCCAAACAUCAAAAAUCAUGUCUUUUAUGUUUGGUACAAUUAAUCUUUUUUAUUCAAAUUUUAUGAUUUCAUACCUCAAGGACAUGAUUGCUGCGACCAAAGAUACCCAAGAGAUGGAAUUGAAGUUAGGGAGAUGGGAGAGGACAAAAUGGACAGAGGCAAAGAUCAUGAUGAAGUAGGUGAGUUUGAUAUCUUUGCAAUCAUUUUUGCAAACUAAAUCAUGGAAUUUUUGCAGGGAUUUUCCGCCGGUGACCGUAAAGACUAUGUUUACUCCAACUUCAACGAUUAGCUGUUGGGGCACAACAAUAUAGAGGCCGAGCUUCUCACCAAAAGCAUACUGGCCGAGCUCAUGGUAUCUGUCGAAACGUCUCCCGGGUACCAUCUCAUGCAUCUCCACCAUUUGCCAUAAUGUGUACAAAGUGACUAUCCAUGAUAUCACUAGUACAGCUACACCAGGACCCCUGAACAUUAUCAAGAACGACGACAUUUAAGACAUUCUGUAUCAAUGGAACGUACUUUAAUUUGUUCAUUUCAAAAAAAUUGGUAGACUUGUAAAAAAAAUGGAAUAUUUUUUUCCUUUUUUGUUUGAUAAAUGAAGCAGACAUACCAUCCAAGUUCUGACAUGGCAUAAGGGAGACUGAGAACUCCAGCUCCAACCAUGGCAGUGAUAUUGUGGAAUGCUGAAUACCACCAUUUUGCAUGCCUUGAAGACGUUAUAGGAAGCCAAUCGUCAAUGGCUUUCUCUUUAGCUGUCCGUCGAUCAACCUGUUAAAGACGAUGAUACAAUUCUCUCAUUAUGUUGAGACUAGACUAGAGAGUAGAGAAUAGAGACUCCUCCCAGGAAAAUAACAGGAACAUCAAAAAGAGAGUAAAUAUUACCAGUUGUUUAAUGGUUUUAUGCAAAGGGUUUUUGGGAUAGUUGAUUAUUUAUUUUUUCCAGUAAUUUAAUCCAAUAAGUUAAAUUUUACAGGACCAACUACAUGAAUACAUACAUAUGAGAAGUGGUUAGUAUGAAGUUUAUUUUCGGAUAAGUUGAUCAAUUGACCAAUAGAAUACUGACACGCAUGCGAAGUUGUAUGUGUGUCCAGGGGCGGUUCUAUGUCUGGGGCAGGGGGGGCACUUGCCCCACUGAAUUUUCAUAUCACGCCUGGGGCAACUGUGCUAUGCUAUAUGCCCCCUUUUAUCCUGAUCAUAUCACACCUAUGCUAUGCUAAGAGUGCUCUAGACCAACAUAUCAUACCUUUUACCAAACAAUAUUUCUAGGUCCAUAUAGCAAUAUGUUUGGUUAAAUGGUUUAUAUGAAAAAAGCAAUUCGGAUGAAACUUGAGUUUUUAACUUUUAUUCUACUUUUUCUUAUUAGCUGCUAGCAAUGAUUGGAGAGCACAGAUGAAAUAUUUGGAGUUGUUGUCAAUGUCAGAGCUAGCCAGGAAAAAAUAGCUCUGUGGACUAAGAAUGCUGCAAAUGAAGCGGCUCCGAGUGGCCUUAUCCAAAUCUUUUGAAUUUGUCACAUUUAUACUACAUUGAGUUUUUAAUAAUAAAAAAAUACUAAUAAAAAAACCAUUUUAGUAUUUUCCUCAUAAGAAAAUUAUGAAUAUAUAUAUAUAUAUAUAUAUAUAUAUAUAUAUGUGUGUGUGUGUUAAGUGUUGGAAAAUUAUAUUGAAUUUAAAAAAGUAUGUAUAUAUAGCUACAAUUUUUAUUCUUAAGGAAUUUUUUUUAAAAAUUUGACCCCACUGAACUACGCGGCUGGAUCCGCCCCUGUGUGUGUCAGUCAAUUAACCAACUUACCAACAAAAUAAAUUCAUGCUAACCGGAUCCAUACAUAUGUAUUUCCUUUUGAGGCUUAUAUCCUUCGUCUGUGUUUCUUUAUUAAUGGUCCUUCACACACACAUACACACACACACACAUAUAUAUAUAUAUAUAUAUAUAUAUAUAAAUGUUUGAUGCACAGGGAGAGAAAUUACAUUAUCGGAGUUGUGGUGCUGAUCUGUCUGAGCUUGGGAAACCAUGGCCGUACAGUUGAGAGUACUCUGUUAGAGAUGGACAGAUGGUACUGAAACAGGGCAGGGGAAAUUAAGACAAAAUAGAGGACUGCACUUGUAUGUUGUACGUUCUUUUACCUUUAAUUCCUAUAUGUUAUAUAUAACAUAUUUAAACGCCCGUGUACGUAUAUAUUAUAUUAUUAUAUAUAGAGGGUGGGAAGUGGGGAAUUUCAAAAAGACAAAAUAUUCAAUAUUUAUUAUAGAUAUAAUUUAAAUGAAAAACUCUAUUAAAUUGUGAUUAAUUUUCUUGUAUUCUAGGUAUUAGCAUAAGUCGGUAGAUAUAGAGUAGACAAUCAUUCCAUUGAGAAUAUUCAACUGAAUUGGCGUCUCCUUUUGGUUGGUUUUGAAUUUUCAUGCACACGUACACACUCUCACAUGAUAUAUAUUUAACAUAUCUUUAAGAUGAGGAAGUUUGACUAAACCUACGUAUUCACAAAAUCUCUCUAUGACUCUACUACUACCUCAAAAAUAAAAUAAAAAAUGGAUGGAUGUUUUUUUUAACUUAAAAGACUUAAUAAAGUAAGUGUGGACCUGCCUAAUUAAAUUGGUAGUGGUUAAGGGUGUAAACGAACCGAGUCGAUUUGAGUAUUAAGUUGCUCAUAUUUGAUUUAUAAAAUUUAUGGAAUAUAAUAUAAGGUUUGAUUGAGACUCAUUUAGCUAUCGAGUCGAGCACGAUUCCGAAUCGAAUCCGAGUAGUUUGGACUUUUUCAACGAAUAUGAUCUGAGUAUCAAUAGAAAAUUAUAAUUUGAGAAGGUUAAAGUAAUUUAUCGAACCUUUAAAAUGUGCUCAUAUUUGACUUAUUUAUAUUUAGAGUCGAGCUCGAAUCAAAUUUUUAGUCGAACGAGUAUGAAUCGAAUCCGAACUAUUUGCUCAUUUUACAGCCUUAGCAGUGGUUAUAAAAAAAUCAAGUGUCUUUGACGAUUACAAGUUGAACACAUGUUUUCUCGGAUGCAACAACUCUAUGGAAUUAUGCUAGCGGUUUCGAUUCUCUAUUAUUUUUCUAGUCGAAAUGAGGACCAUUUCAUUUCUUCUCAAAUGAUUUUCUUUGAGGUAUCAAAGUUUUUCUAAGGUACGGAAGAAGCAUAUAUGGCCAAUGAAAUAUGUUGACUUUAAUAAUUAUUUUUAACUUCUUAUCGAUUGGAACCAAAAAGAAAAAAAAAAGUGUACAUUCAUGAAGAUGGAAAAAUAAAAAAUUAGGUAUUGACCGACCACCUUAUUUUAUGAAAUAGGAUCAAAAUUCAUAUUACAUUAUUGACCAGAGAAGUUGAAGUUGAAAAUAAAAAGGUUGUUGGUGGGGAUUUAGCUAGUCCAAGUUGUGAAUGUUGAUAGUUUUUUCAUUGACUUGAGUUUUAGCUAGAGACCGAUAUACUAUAGUGUGAAAGAGAGUACUGGGUGGGGUGGUUAAGCAGCCGCAGCCUGAGUCCGGAAUAGGAGGAUAUAUGGAUCCCGAUCCUCUCUAUUUCAAUUUGAAAUAACGAGUCUCUAUUUAAAAGUUUAGAUUUAAAAUUGUUAGAUCGAAAGUUUAAAAAUUGCUAUUUCAUUUAAAAGUCGUCACUAACCUAAGUUUAAUCACCUCAUUUAAAAAUUACUAACCUAACUCUAGUCAUCUUAAUUAAAAGCCACUAAUCAUUAAUUUAAUAUAACACUAAUAUAGAUUAGAGGAUGCAUACAAACACUAAACUUAUAUGUAUACAUGUCGGGAGAAACAUCAAACGUGUUCUACAGUUAAACUUAAUUAUAGAUUAGACAAAAAAAAAAUUCGGGGUGGAAGUUGAAUCCAGGAUCUUUUGCUUUGCAAGAAGCGUGAGGCCAGUUGAUAAUUAUAGAUUAGACAAUUAGUGUUAAAGACCUCCACAGUAUGUUCUUUGUGCUAUAUAUCUUUCGGGACUAAUUAUAUUAAUAAAAUACUUGGUUUGCAAAAACACAAAUUAUUUGUCAUUGCUUAUGUCAUAUGUUAGUUCAAUAUGAUCAGAUGUACUAUUACGAUUUCAACAAAUCUUGGAAUUAUAUAGUAUAAUAUUUAUUUGAAAAUCGACACAAAAGUAUGUUUCUUUUAGGAAUAGAUCGAUGGAGGGAAUAUAUUAAUUAUUAUAGCCACUAGUUUCAAAAGAUGAUGCUUGGUUAAGAGGAUGAAGUCAACAUUGCAAAAUCAAAUUCAAUUCAAUUUUAGUAUAUGAACUCAAACUUAUAAUUAGUCAAAUAUUACAGGCCUCUCCUUAAUAGUACUUGAUUAGUUGAUUAUUUUUAAGGAGAGAGAAACUGGAGAUCAUGCAUAAAAAAUUGUAUAAAAUAUUAAAAAAAAUAUACAAUAAGUUUGGCAAAAGAAUAAGAAAUGGUCCAUUGAUCUCUCCUAAUCUUGGGUUUUUGGAGAAAAGAAUUCUUAUAAUCAGAAAAGAAAAUAGACAGGCAGGGCUAUAGAUAAACAAUAUGAUUAAUAUUGAGUAUUCGUAUUAGGGAGGGAGUAGGCCGGGAUAGCAUUUGAUAAUAUUGAUCACCCUCAGUUUUCAUGGGGGGAGGGGGGGUCAUAAAUAUCAUCAACUGUGCUAGUUCUUAAGUGCAUUAUUAUUAAGUUAAAUUAAAUUAGUUCUGCGCGCGUUUAGUAUGCACUUCUUCUAUUAACUACUGCUACUAUGCAUCCUAAACAGCAUUCAUUCUUGUUCCUGAUCGAUGUUUGUAUCCUAAACAGCAUUAUUGUUUCAUCCUAGCUAGAAAUAUAGAUAUUGAAACAAUAAUGCUGUUUAGGAUGCAUUAUUAUAAUUCUUAGAAAAAAGCCAAUGCUUUCAUUCCAUAAGUGGAAUUAGUCUUGAUUGUAACUUAUCUGUUUUAUUCUAUAUAAGCUGUAUAGUUGUCUUACUAACAAAGUUGAUACCAAAUACUUAAUUAUAUUUCCCUAGUCUGUACAAAGACAUGAACCAUGCAGCUUAACACAUAAUUGUUUCGGGAGAUGAAAAUCCACUUCCAUUCCACAAUGAGAUCGAAUUAUAACUGAAAUGCUAAGACAUAUGGGCUUUAUUUAUACACACCAUAAACGUAGGGGACCAAGGAACAGAAAAACAUGUAAACGACAUAGGCUGAAUGAACCUCAUGGAAAGUCUUUGGCUGCCUGCAAGCCUACAAUUUGGCUAUUUUUUUUCCUUUUUCAUACAAUCAGAUGUGUCAAUGUUUCUGAAAAUCCUAGAUCUCAACACUUCUCCAGUUGCCUUCGUUGUUCUAUAUGAAAAAGCACAGUAUGAUUUUCUGAUGGUUAUCGUUCCUAAGUGUCAUAACAGUCUUCUUCAAAUUUCCUUCAGCCUACUCUAUAACAUAACACAUGAUCCUUUGCUGCUUAUGAGAAAAAUUCGUAGGUUUUGGCUUGAAUUAUGAUCUGCCUUAGUCCUCCAAUAGGAGAUAAAAUCAUCAAACAAACUCCGAAAAAGAUGCAAAUCUGAAAUUCAUGAAACCCAAGUCAAACAAAAUGAGGCAAAUAAAAAACUACGAAAACAGUUUAAGAACUUCUAAGCUGCACAUACCCAGUUAGUAAACCAAGAUAGGCUGUAUCUCCUCGGUUUGUAGAUAGCAAGCCACAUGACGCAAGGGAGCUAAAGGAAACACGAAAAUUAUGAUAUUUAGGAAAUCAGUACGAGUUAUCUUCAUUGCAAAGUUGAGUUAUCGCAUUAAUAUUUAAAGAUGGAAAACACAAUUGCUUACAAAAUAUGUAGUUGGGGCGAAGGCGAAUCCUCCAAAGAAUCCAAGAAGACCCCCAAAAAAGGGGAAACAAAUGGCAACAAACAUUGUGAAAGCUGAGAGAAAGAAAAUUGGUAUCAAUCUCAAACCAAUAUAAUUAACCCACCUGCAGUCUGCAGAUAGAUCACACAACUCACAGUCAAGUGCAUGCAAUGCAAAUUUACUUACCCACGUAUAGGUUCCUUGAAACGAAACGAAGUGUUAUACUUGGUGCGAAAUGUAAUUUCUUUACCAGCACAGUUUCAAUCAUAUCAAAUACCGGCAUUGCAUAAAUCUAUAUUUAAAGAUGAAAAAAAAUUAUAUACCAAUCAGUAAGAACACCAGAAGAAAUUAACAAACAGAUAUGAAUGACAUAAUUGGAACCUGAUAGCUUCCGAUGACAUGAAAAACAACAAAAAUGUUAGCCAUUGCAAUGAGCCAAGUAGGUUUCUCUAAGGUGAUCAGAAUAUUGUCGGAAACUGCAUUUCCAAACAUCCAAUAUCCUAUCAGAGCAACGGGGAAGUAGCACAAGGCGACAACUAUGUAGGCCACGACGACUCCCUUCCACAUAGGACCCUUUGAAGGCUUCUCGGGUGUUGAAGGGAUUGUUGCUUGAAUCUCCAAAACCACAUUAUGACCUGCAUAUGCAAACGCUACAUCUCCCAGCGCACUGAAAAAGUUAAAAACUGUUCCGGCUGUAGACUUGGCUUUGUAGCCAUAUUCAACAUCUGGUUGAACACCCUUCUUAACAGAAGCUGACCAAGCAAUAGUAGAGUAACUGCACCAAAAACAAUCAUAUCAAGCAUGUUAGUUUCCUCCCAAACAUAAAAAAUGAUCAGGUCCUUUAUGGUUUCUUUAAUAUUUUAUGAUUUUGUACCUCAAGGACAUGAUUGCUGCAACCAAAGAUACCCAAGAGAUGGAAUUGAAGUUGGGGAGAUGGGAGAGGACAAAGUGGACAGAGGCAAAGAUCAUGAUGAAGUAGGUGAGUUUGAUAUCUUUGCAAUCAUUUUUGCA
RNAcentral lists this long non-coding RNA (9154 nucleotides) under Panax ginseng (ginseng). Its description in RNAcentral is "long non-coding RNA (PGIN_LNC015449)". Lineage: Eukaryota; Viridiplantae; Streptophyta; Magnoliopsida; Apiales; Araliaceae. The record is from RNAcentral.